GACAAGGAAUCUACAAUAUACACGAGAGAUUGUGAAAGAGAAAAGGAAGAGCGUUCAAAAGGGCAUUCAAGAGCAUUCAAAGAGAGGGUUUUUCAAGCCAACUGUUCAACCUUGAUCAAGAGAUCUUUCAAAGCCUUCAAGAAGUCUUCAAUCAAAGUUCACCUUCUCCUCAAGCAUUCAUUCAACUUUUCAUCCACCUUGAGAAAAUCCAAAAAGG
This 217-nucleotide long non-coding RNA is filed under the name Elaeis guineensis (African oil palm). Its description in RNAcentral is "long non-coding RNA (EGUI_LNC021626)". Lineage: Eukaryota; Viridiplantae; Streptophyta; Magnoliopsida; Arecales; Arecaceae. The record is from RNAcentral.